RNAcentral lists this long non-coding RNA (1589 nucleotides) under Medicago truncatula (barrel medic). RNAcentral's name for it is "lncRNA gene14106". Lineage: Eukaryota; Viridiplantae; Streptophyta; Magnoliopsida; Fabales; Fabaceae. The record is from RNAcentral.
UUGAUCUCUUCGAGAACAUAUCUUAUAGGUGACAUGGUUGUGGUGCUCCUGCAGCAGAGGUACCACACUUAUAUGGACGAUUUGAAUGCAACCAUUCCCCCAUGAAAUAGUUGGGUUAAGGAAGACGUUAGAUGUCAGGUCAACGGAAGAGAUCGGUUUCGGGAAAAGUUUUCGUGUGGUUAGUGAUGAUAUGUCAUCUUACGUUAUUUUCAACAUGUUUUUCGGUCAUUUUAGGAAUCAAUAAAGAUGGGUUUUAGAGAAGUAUCACAUGGUUAAAGUCACAUUUUGUAAUGUAUUCAAAUCGAGUUAUGUAAUUAUGUUUCUCCUCUAAACAAGACAAUUAACCAAAAGAGAAGACUUUGAUCCUCCCCCUUGGCUUAUAAAAGGCUUUCAAGAUGUUGUCAAUUAUUAUGACCUUUGCAACCUUCCCCUUGAUGGAUACCAAUGUACUUGGUUUAAUAGUAUGUGUAGAAGUUCUUCUAAAGAGGCUAGACUUUAUAAUGGUUUUUGCACUACCUCGUACCAGAAAAUCUACCCUCCAAACUUGAUCUUGCUCACGUUGUAAAGAUCACCUUUUUAAGAUCACCGGGUUGAGUAAUGACCAGAUCACCUUUUUUAAGCAGACUUAAUUGUUGGAACAAAAUGUGUUUCACAAUAAACCUUAAUAAGUUUUGAUGAUAACAAGGUAUUAAAAAUUGUCAAUUGGUUAUUGCUAAUGAUUGUUCAAGUGUACAGGACCAUAUGCAAAGUCACUCAAUUUCAAUAGGUCUUGGAAGAACAAUGGAGAGCAAAAGAAUCCUAAGCAUCUGAAGAAAACUGCGUCUGAAGCCAAGAAAUGCUUUUGAAGUGACAAAGUGCCUUUGAAGAAAUGACGUCAUCAGAAGCAGAAGAUCAUCAGAAGCAGAAGACCAUCAUAAGCACAAUUUCAUCAGAAGCUAUAUCAUCACCAUAAGCUUCAAGUGAACAGUUAAUUUAAACUGAAGAUUCAAAGAAGCUGUUUUUCGUUUCAACCUCGUCUAAGAGAACGAAGAAUUGAAAGGGAGGUAUCAACGGUCAUUUUAAAAGCACUGAGUAUUUGUCCUUCAUUAUCAGAGUUGACAAAGUACAAGUGUACAACCACUACCUCCACUACUCUGUUUUUGUCUACGCUACAAGACAAGACAACAGCCAUGCCUGCAGAAAUGUUCCUUCAAGAUGGGAAUGAAUUUGAAGUCGAUUCUUCAAAGGACUACACCCAAAUCAGGCAAAAGAUUACUGGUGGAUGAUCAAAGGAACUCAACGACUCUUUAGACGUGCUAAAAAUAUCAACGUCUCUUUCACACCUCUAUAUAAAGGAGUGAGGACUUGAAGAUUGGCAAGAGACAUCAAUACAAGUUAAAAGCGCCAAAACUCUGCCAAAUUUGAUUCUACAAAGCACCUUGAAUUUCUGCACUGAUUUGAUACAUCUUAGAAAUUCACAAGUCUAGAGUCUUUAUUGCAUUGUAUUGAGAAAACCACUGAUUGUAUAUCAAGUGUUCAUCAUCAAACAUUUUCUCUGUAUUUUUGUUUGAAUAGAAGCCUCUUGCCUGCGUGCUUGAGCAUUAGUAGAC